ACGCUGGCGGCGUGCCUAAUACAUGCAAGUAGAACGCUGAAGAGAGGAGCUUGCUCUUCUUGGAUGAGUUGCGAACGGGUGAGUAACGCGUAGGUAACCUGCCUGGUAGCGGGGGAUAACUAUUGGAAACGAUAGCUAAUACCGCAUGAAAUGGAUUAUCGCAUGAUAAUUCAUUGAAAGGUGCAAAUGCAUCACUACCAGAUGGACCUGCGUUGUAUUAGCUAGUUGGUGGGGUAACGGCUCACCAAGGCGACGAUACAUAGCCGACCUGAGAGGGUGAUCGGCCACACUGGGACUGAGACACGGCCCAGACUCCUACGGGAGGCAGCAGUAGGGAAUCUUCGGCAAUGGACGGAAGUCUGACCGAGCAACGCCGCGUGAGUGAAAAAGGUUUUCGGAUCGUAAAGCUCUGUUGUAAGAGAAGAACGAGUGUGAGAGUGGAAAGUUCACACUGUGACGGUAUCUUACCAGAAAGGGACGGCUAACUACGUGCCAGCAGCCGCGGUAAUACGUAGGUCCCGAGCGUUGUCCGGAUUUAUUGGGCGUAAAGCGAGCGCAGGCGGUUAGAUAAGUCUGAAGUUAAAGGCUGUGGCUUAACCAUAAUACGCUUUGGAAACUGUUUAACUUGAGUGCAAGAGGGGAGAGUGGAAUUCCAUGUGUAGCGGUGAAAUGCGUAGAUAUAUGGAGGAACACCGGUGGCGAAAGCGGCUCUCUGGCUUGUAACUGACGCUGAGGCUCGAAAGCGUGGGGAGCAAACAGGAUUAGAUACCCUGGUAGUCCACGCCGUAAACGAUGAGUGCUAGGUGUUAGACCCUUUCCGGGGUUUAGUGCCGCAGCUAACGCAUUAAGCACUCCGCCUGGGGAGUACGACCGCAAGGUUGAAACUCAAAGGAAUUGACGGGGGCCCGCAC
RNAcentral lists this ribosomal RNA (911 nucleotides) under uncultured bacterium. RNAcentral describes it as "bacterial SSU rRNA". It matches the Rfam family "Bacterial small subunit ribosomal RNA", at positions 33 to 926 of the family's 1533-position model. The record is from RNAcentral.